AGUACGCAUUCUACCUUUUCCUACAAUGAAUCCACCAGCAGAAAUUCCUGUACACAUCUUAUCAACAAAGAAUUUGAACCUCAAAGAGUGGCUCAAAGAGGUCAGGAGGCACCUUCAACACUUUUAUUGGAGAUCUCCUUGUCUAGAUCAUCAGAUUCUCACUGUGUUACCUAGGCUGCAGUGCAGUGGUGCGAUCUCAACUCACUGCAACCUCUACCUCCUGGGUUCAAGCAAUUCUCCUGCCUCAGCCUCCCAAGUAGCUGGGAUUACAGAGCUCAUGGUUUUUAAACAACUUGUGGUAAAAAUCUGGUGGAAAAGAUAACAACAGUAUAUGAUAUGGCAGAGUUGCACAGAAGAAUCAGAACAUUGUUUUAGAGAAACGUUGGGCAAUUAAUUAAGCCAGCUGAUUAAGUUUUAAAGGAGGAAGAUGGAACUUGGAGAAGACAUACAGGCUGAAGAAAAAAAAAUAUUUUGGAAGUGAUCAGCACAUUCUAAUUGACCAUGGAUGCUCUCUGCAUUCAUGUGGUAACCCAGGGAGAGUAUGGAGUGAAAAGAGGAUCACCAAAGAAACUUGGGGUAUCUCAACAUUUAGGAAGUGUGCAGAGAAGAUGAGAUCAUUAAAAUGUACCAAGAG
This 634-nucleotide long non-coding RNA is filed under the name Homo sapiens (human). RNAcentral's name for it is "non-protein coding ZFPM2-AS1:8". The record is from RNAcentral. Lineage: Eukaryota; Metazoa; Chordata; Mammalia; Primates; Hominidae.